CCUACGGGAGGCAGCAGUGAGGAAUAUUGGUCAAUGGGCGCGAGCCUGAACCAGCCAAGCAGCGUGAAGGAGGACUGCCCUACGGGUUGUAAACCUCUUUUGUAAAGGAAUAAAGUGAGGCACGUGUGCCUUUUUGUAUGUACUUUAUGAAUAAGGAUCGGCUAACUCCGUGCCAGCAGCCGCGGUAAUACGGAGGAUCCGAGCGUUAUCCGGAUUUAUUGGGUUUAAAGGGGGCGUAGAUGGGUUGUUAAGUCAGUUGUGAAAGUUUGGGGCUCAACCGUAAAAUUGCAAUUGAUACUGGCAGUCUUGAGUAGAGGAGAGGUAGGCGGAAUGCGUGGUGUAGCGGUGAAAUGCUUAGAUAUCACGAAGAACUCCGAUUGCGAAGGCAGCUUACUAGACUGACACUGACAUUGAUGCUCGAAAGUGUGGGUAUCGAACAGGAUUAGAUACCCGUGUAGUC
RNAcentral lists this ribosomal RNA (460 nucleotides) under uncultured bacterium. RNAcentral describes it as "partial 16S ribosomal RNA". It matches the Rfam family "Bacterial small subunit ribosomal RNA", at positions 338 to 795 of the family's 1533-position model. The record is from RNAcentral.